AGAGAUGCGCAGUGCUGCCCCUUUCUAUGGGCAGGGCCGAAGGUCCGCGUGUAAAAGUACCCAGUCCCUGGUAACCUGACACUUCCCUUUUAAAAGCCACCUUUUGUCUAUCUCUGGCCUGCCACGAUUCUUCCUGUGCUCCAUAGGAGGACCCAUUGGACCCCCGGGCUGGCUGCAGGGCCCACACCUGGGUUAGACCUCGCACAGGGACGCUGCUGCCACUGUAAUAAAGCGUGCCUACACGCUUCUGAAACUGGUGUAGGAACAACCUCAGUUCUGUGAAAGGCGGACGCAGCAGGACAGAAUCUCCGUGGACAUCUGUCUGGAGGAGCAAUUUUACUGCGACAUUUUAAAGAAACAAAUUUAAUUGAUUUCCAAGGGUGUCCAUCGCGCUUCCUUCACUGCCUUGAUCAUGUCGGGGUCACCACCUGCGGGGGUUUGUCCUGCAGACCCUGACUCAACGACGGAUGAAUAAUGUACACUGACACAGAUCUUAUGCUUGUCAGUCCUGCUGAGCAUCCAGGCCACUUACAGACUCCAAGAAGAGUCCUGUCAGCCACGGCUCUGACUUGUUGGCCCUCCCGGCAUUUAUUUAGCACACAUUUAAUGACAGAAGUCUCAGGCUGGAAACACUCUUUUUGUAGAACAUACAAAUGGACAUUUCUAAGCACAUUGAGGCCUAUAAUGAAAAAUCAAAUAUCCCACAAUGAAAACUAGAAGGAAGCUAUCUGUGAUAAUGCUUUGUGGUGUAUGGAUUCAUCUCACUGACUGAAACCUGAGUUUUGAUUCACCAGGUAAGAAACACUUUUUUUUUUAAUAGAAUCUACAAAGGGACAUUUCUGAGCAAAUUGAGGCUAAGAGUAAAAAAUCAAAUAUCACACGAUAAAAACUAGUAACAAGCUAUCUGUGAAAAUGCUUUUCAAUGUUUGAAUUCAUUUCACAGAGUUAAACCUUUGUUUUGAUUGAACAGGUUGGAGACACUCUUUUUAUAGGAUCUACCAAGAGACAUUUCUGACCUCAUUGAGGCCAAUAGUAAAAAAUCAAAUGUCUCAUGAUAAAAAGUAAAAAGAUGCUAUCUGUGAAAAUGCUUUCUGGAGUGGAGAUUUAUCUCAGUGAAUUGAAUCUGUGUUUUGAUUCACCAGGUUGGAAACCUUCUUUUUGUAAAACCUACAGUGGGACAUUUCUGAGCUCAUUGAGGCUUGUAGUGAAAAACUGAGUUUCCUGCAAUAAAAACCGAAAACAGGUUAUCUGUGAAAGUGAUUUGUGAUGUGCAAAUUCAUCUCAUGAAAAUAAACCUCUGCUUUGAUUGAAUAAAUGGGAAGAACUUUUUUGUAGAAAUUUCUGAGCUCCUUUAGGUCUAUAGCAAAAAAAUCUAAUAUCCUGCAAACAAAACUAGAAACAAGCUACAUGUGAAGGUGCUUUCUGAUGUGUGAAUUCAUCUCACCAAAUGAAACUCGUGUUUUGAUUUAGUAGGUUGAAAACAAUCUUUUUGAAGAAUAUACGAAGGGACAUUACUGAGCUUAUUGAGGCUUAUAUUGAAAAACUGAAUAUCCCACAAAAUAAACUAGAAACAAGUGAUCUGUGAAAAUAGUUGGCCAUGUGUAAAUUUAUCUCACACAGUUAAACCCUUUUUUUGACUCAACAAAUUAGAACUCUUUUUGUAGAAUCUAUGAAGGGACAUUUCUGAGCUCAUUGAGGCCUAUCGUGAAAAACUGAAUAUCCCAUGAUGAAAACUAGAAAGAAGCUAUCUGUGAAAAUAUUUAGCAAUGUGUUCUUUCAUCUCACAGAGUUAAAUCUUUUUUUUUUUUUAUUCACCAUAUUGGAAAUACUCUUUUUGUAGAAUCUACAAAGAAACAUUUCUGAGCCCAUUGAAGCCUAUAGUAAAAAAACAAAUAUUCUGCAGUUGAAACUAGAAACAAUCUCUUUGAAAAUGCCUUGUGAUGUGUGGAUGCAUCUCAUUAAAAGGAGCCUGUGUUUUGGUUCACCAGAUUGGAAACACUUUUUUGUAGAAUAUACGAUGGGAUGUAUCUGAGCCCAUUGAGGCCUAUAGUAAAAAAUGGAAUAUCUUGCAAUAAAAAACUAGAAACGAGCUAUCUUUGAAUAUGCUUUCUGAUGUGUGGAUUCAUCUCACAGAGUUAAACCUUAUUUUUGACUCACCAAGAUGGAAAUACUUUUUUUUGUAGAAUCUAUGAUAAGACAUUUCUGAGUCUAUUGAUGUGUAU
RNAcentral lists this long non-coding RNA (2222 nucleotides) under Homo sapiens (human). RNAcentral's name for it is "long intergenic non-protein coding RNA 662". Lineage: Eukaryota; Metazoa; Chordata; Mammalia; Primates; Hominidae. The record is from RNAcentral.